AGCAGCCGCGGUAAUUCCAGCUCCAAUAGCGUAUAUUAAAGUUGUUGCAGUUAAAAGCUCGUAGUUGAACUUCGGGAUUUGUUCGUUGGUCAGGCUUCACUGUCUGUACUGGUGUUACGAAUUCCUACCUUCUGACGAAUCUUCAUGCCAUUCACUUGGUGCGGAGGGGAAUCAGGACUGUUACUUUGAAAAAUUGAGUGUUUAAAGCAGGCUAUUGCUCGAAUAUAUUAGCAUGGAAUAAUAAAAUAGGACGGUUGGUUCUAUUUUGUUGGUUUCUAGGAUCACCGUAAUGAUUAAUAGGGAUAGUUGGGGGCAUUAGUAUUCAAUUGUCAGAGGUGAAAUUCUUGGAUUUAUUGAAGACUAACUACUGCGAAAGCAUUUGCCAAGGAUGUUUUCAUUAAUCAAGAACGAAAGUUAGGGAUCGAAGACGAUCAGAUACCGUCGUAGUCU
RNAcentral lists this ribosomal RNA (450 nucleotides) under uncultured Glomeromycotina. Its description in RNAcentral is "SSU rRNA". It matches the Rfam family "Eukaryotic small subunit ribosomal RNA", at positions 569 to 1026 of the family's 1831-position model. Lineage: Eukaryota; Fungi; Glomeromycota. The record is from RNAcentral.